GGGAUAACACUUGGAAACAGGUGCUAAUACCGUAUAACAACAAAAUCCGCAUGGAUUUUGUUUGAAAGGUGGCUUCGGCUAUCACUUCUGGAUGAUCCCGCGGCGUAUUAGUUAGUUGGUGAGGUAAAGGCCCACCAAGACGAUGAUACGUAGCCGACCUGAGAGGGUAAUCGGCCACAUUGGGACUGAGACACGGCCCAAACUCCUGCGGGAGGCAGCAGUAGGGAAUCUUCCACAAUGGACGAAAGUCUGAUGGAGCAAUGCCGCGUGAGUGAAGAAGGGUUUCGGCUCGUAAAACUCUGUUGUUAAAGAAGAACACCUUUGAGAGUAACUGUUCAAGGGUUGACGGUAUUUAACCAGAAAGCCACGGCUAACUACGUGCCAGCAGCCGCGGUAAUACGUAGGUGGCAAGCGUUGUCCGGAUUUAUUGGGCGUAAAGCGAGCGCAGGCGGUUUUUUAAGUCUGAUGUGAAAGCCUUCGGCUUAACCGGAGAAGUGCAUCGGAAACUGGGAGACUUGAGUGCAG
This 525-nucleotide ribosomal RNA is filed under the name Levilactobacillus brevis. RNAcentral describes it as "bacterial SSU rRNA". It matches the Rfam family "Bacterial small subunit ribosomal RNA", at positions 140 to 651 of the family's 1533-position model. Lineage: Bacteria; Bacillati; Bacillota; Bacilli; Lactobacillales; Lactobacillaceae. The record is from RNAcentral.